GACGAACGCUGGCGGCGUGCUUAACACAUGCAAGUCGAACGGAAAGGCCCUGCUUUUGUGGGGUGCUCGAGUGGCGAACGGGUGAGUAACACGUGAGUAACCUGCCCUUGACUUUGGGAUAACUUCAGGAAACUGGGGCUAAUACCGGAUAGGAGCUCCUGCUGCAUGGUGGGGGUUGGAAAGUUUCGGCGGUUGGGGAUGGACUCGCGGCUUAUCAGCUUGUUGGUGGGGUAGUGGCUUACCAAGGCUUUGACGGGUAGCCGGCCUGUGAGGGUGACCGGCCACAUUGGGACUGAGGUACGGCCCAGACUCCUACGGGAGGCAGCAGGGGGGAAUAUUGCACAAUGGGCGGAAGUCUGAGGCAGCAACGCCGCGUGCGGGAUGACGGCCUUCGGGUUGUAAACCGCUUUCGCCUGUGACGAAGCGUGAGUGACGGUAAUGGGUAAAGAAGCACCGGCUAACUACGUG
This 468-nucleotide ribosomal RNA is filed under the name uncultured bacterium. Its description in RNAcentral is "partial 16S ribosomal RNA". It matches the Rfam family "Bacterial small subunit ribosomal RNA", at positions 28 to 507 of the family's 1533-position model. The record is from RNAcentral.